GCAGUCGAACGAUGAAGCCCAGCUUGCUGGGUGGAUUAGUGGCGAACGGGUGAGUAACACGUGAGUAACCUGCCCCCGACUCUGGGAUAAGCCCGGGAAACUGGGUCUAAUACCGGAUAUUACCUUUGACCGCAUGGUUGUUGGUGGAAAGAUUUAUCGGUGGGGGAUGGACUCGCGGCCUAUCAGCUUGUUGGUGAGGUAAUGGCUCACCAAGGCGACGACGGGUAGCCGGCCUGAGAGGGUGACCGGCCACACUGGGACUGAGACACGGCCCAGACUCCUACGGGAGGCAGCAGUGGGGAAUAUUGCACAAUGGGCGAAAGCCUGAUGCAGCGACGCCGCGUGAGGGAUGACGGCCUUCGGGUUGUAAACCUCUUUCAGUAGGGAAGAAGCGAAAGUGACGGUACCUGCAGAAGAAGCGCCGGCUAACUACGUGCCAGCAGCCGCGGUAAUACGUAGGGCGCAAGCGUUAUCCGGAUUUAUUGGGCGUAAAGAGCUCGUAGGCGGUUUGUCGCGUCUGCCGUGAAAGUCCGAGGCUCAACCUCGGAUCUGCGGUGGGUACGGGCAGACUAGAGUGAUGUAGGGGAGACUGGAAUUCCUGGUGUAGCGGUGAAAUGCGCAGAUAUCAGGA
Molecule: ribosomal RNA, 631 nt
Filed under: bacterium 70-L049642-122-014-F09
Lineage: Bacteria
Description: bacterial SSU rRNA
Rfam family: Bacterial small subunit ribosomal RNA
Source: RNAcentral